UUCUUCGUUCACUUGGCCCUACUAUACACAUGUAUACCCACCGCCAGGCGGCGCUCCCUUCAGUUUAGCGGGAGAUUUGUAUUACAAGUGGCGGCCAUUUUGUUUGUUUACGGAAACGUGAUGAAAGCUUAGACCUAGAACAAAACCACGUUAUAUAUACAGUACGGUAUAUAUUGGCGACAUUUAAUUUCCCCACUCACGGAAUACAAUCGACAAACUGGGAACAGAAUAUCAAAUUUCGUCUAGCUUUUGGCGACUUAUGAUACCCCUUUCACCGGCAAACACUGAAUUAUCGGACAACAUGAAAUCAGGGACUAAAUUCACCAGCAUUCAUGAUCCUCGGACCACCCGCCCCCUACGCACAGCCGAUUUAUAAAUGUUGCAUCUUUCAAUCAGUGUCAAUCCCAAGAAGAACCCUGAUCAGCUCCUGGAAAAAUCAGUGUUCGUGCAGUAUUGUCAGUCAAAUCUCAAGGAAAGGAUCGAUAUCCCAGAAGAGGAACAUUUACAUUAUUUCAGACUUUUUUCUUUCCUGUGUAACAAUGCCUAAAACAGCUAACACAUUUUAUAUAGUAUACAAUACAAUGUGUAUUAAUAACAGUCCAGUUAGAGUGCUGUGUUAUGCAGUAAAAAUACUUAAUUCUUGAUGACAUUUUGGUUUUAUGUUUACAUUAAACGGUAGUUAUAAUAUAUACUAAAGAAACAUAGUGGAUAAUGCCUUGUACAGGAGCAGGAGUAUGACAGUGUAAUAGUACAUGACUGCUGCGUUCAUCCUUGGAAGGAGUCUGUUAUUCGAAAUAAAGCUUUCCAUGAGGACGAAAAA
Long non-coding RNA from Pecten maximus, 820 nucleotides. RefSeq lists it as uncharacterized. Lineage: Eukaryota; Metazoa; Mollusca; Bivalvia; Pectinida; Pectinidae. The transcript is spliced from 3 exons. The record is from RefSeq and is a predicted model, not a curated record.